CCUACGGGGGGCAGCAGUGGGGAAUAUUGCACAAUGGGCGGAAGCCUGAUGCAGCAACGCCGCGUGCGGGAUGACGGCCUUCGGGUUGUAAACCGCUUUCGCCUGUGACGAAGCGUGAGUGACGGUAAUGGGUAAAGAAGCACCGGCUAACUACGUGCCAGCAGCCGCGGUGAUACGUAGGGUGCGAGCGUUGUCCGGAUUUAUUGGGCGUAAAGGGCUCGUAGGUGGUUGAUCGCGUCGGAAGUGUAAUCUUGGGGCUUAACCCUGAGCGUGCUUUCGAUACGGGUUGACUUGAGGAAGGUAGGGGAGAAUGGAAUUCCUGGUGGAGCGGUGGAAUGCGCAGAUAUCAGGAGGAACACCAGUGGCGAAGGCGGUUCUCUGGGCCUUUCCUGACGCUGAGGAGCGAAAGCGUGGGGAGCGAACAGGCUUAGAUACCCCUGUAGUC
RNAcentral lists this ribosomal RNA (445 nucleotides) under uncultured Propionibacterium sp. Its description in RNAcentral is "bacterial SSU rRNA". It matches the Rfam family "Bacterial small subunit ribosomal RNA", at positions 338 to 795 of the family's 1533-position model. Lineage: Bacteria; Bacillati; Actinomycetota; Actinomycetes; Propionibacteriales; Propionibacteriaceae. The record is from RNAcentral.